AAAUGAUACGUUGUUACCAAGGACGAUAAUGUUUAUCAAGCAUAGGUCGUUGUGUGCCAUAUAGGUUGGUUGUCUUCUUAACCAAUGAGUGUGGAGACACUGGUAUGGCAUACAGGUGAGAUGUAAGGGUACAUCUGCACUGAACGUGACCAACUCCGGAGCUAUUUCUGCUGUCAAGAUUUGCUCCGAUGGAAUAUGGGUAUAAAUGUCCCUCCGACCUGAGACCACCAUGGUGACUUGCAAGCAACUCACUGCACUUAGGCACUGAACUACCUGAAUUUCUAAUUCAGCGACGGAAGGCUGUUGGGUGUAGUCAAGUACUUGACUUGUCGGUGCAUGUGUCAAGAUGGGAUUGACCACUCCAGUUUAGGAGCUGUGUACAGUCGUGUUUCAAUUUAGCAAAACCUUGGCCAGGGUAGUCCUUGUGAGGAGUCAUAGGACUGUUUGAGUUGAGCACGAUUCGGAUGAUCUGAUCAGGGUUGACAGUUUAACCCUGAGUCAUCCUAAACACAGGGGUCAAAAGGAUGAAUUAUAUAGUAACCAUAUUCAUGUAGGUUCUGAGUGUUGUGAUUGCGACUCUUCGACCUAUCCGAACGUC
Molecule: long non-coding RNA, 598 nt
Filed under: Elaeis guineensis (African oil palm)
Lineage: Eukaryota; Viridiplantae; Streptophyta; Magnoliopsida; Arecales; Arecaceae
Description: long non-coding RNA (EGUI_LNC021479)
Source: RNAcentral